Molecule: long non-coding RNA, 627 nt
Organism: Oncorhynchus nerka (sockeye salmon)
Lineage: Eukaryota; Metazoa; Chordata; Actinopteri; Salmoniformes; Salmonidae
Exons: 2
Source: RefSeq, a predicted model, not a curated record
AAAUGUAAUUCUGAGAAAACAAGCCCAAGGGCUGACAGCAAAACACCACAUGCCUGUGACAUGCCCCAAAUCCUCCAAGGACAAACAGUAAGAGUUACUCUCCACUCCAACAACUCAGUCAGCACUUGGACUCCGGGCAUAAUAUGCACUGAUCAACUCAGUGACCGGUCAUAGCGAAUGGUAGAAAAAUACAGCAGAAACAGAAACAGAAACCGACGGACUGAACAACUCAGGAACCCCCCCCCCGAUCGACCACCAAACAAACACAGAUGAGGAUGACUGAAGACGAUGGAACGAACCUGCCAACCCAGCAGGUGGUGAACAACAGGCUGCUGAUAUGGAAGCAGUCCCACUGCCUGAUGGAAGAGGGUAGUCUGCAUGUUGACUUUAAAGUUGAUGCUUCUGAAGCACAACAUCUGAGACAAAGACAACUGUCAUGUUCCUUAGUGGAACAGUUCCCUUGCCUCGAGGAUUCAGAGGGGCAAAAACUGGAAGUUAGGUUUCCAUUUUGAAACUUACUGUAUUAUCUUUCAUGCAUAAGCUCUGCUAUUUCCACCAAAAUGGUGCCCUUUAAGGUGUAAUACCUUUGGAUUGGUUUGACCAAAUCCUAGCCAUAUUGAACACAAA